UACAGAGGGUGCGAGCGUUAAUCGGAAUUACUGGGCGUAAAGCGUGCGUCGACGGUUGUCUAAGUCGGAUGUGAAAUCCCCGGGCUCAACCUGGGAAUUGCAUUCGAGACUGAACAGCUAGGGUGCGGAAGAGGGAAGCGGAAUUUCCGGUGUAGCAGUGAAAUGCGUAGAUAUCGGAAGGAACAUCAGUGGCGAAAGCGGCUUCCUGGUCCAGCACCGACGUUCAGGCACGAAAGCGUGGGGAGCAAACAGG
This 253-nucleotide ribosomal RNA is filed under the name uncultured bacterium. Its description in RNAcentral is "partial 16S ribosomal RNA". It matches the Rfam family "Bacterial small subunit ribosomal RNA", at positions 524 to 776 of the family's 1533-position model. The record is from RNAcentral.